RNAcentral lists this transfer RNA (148 nucleotides) under Aspergillus tamarii. RNAcentral's name for it is "tRNA-Tyr". Lineage: Eukaryota; Fungi; Ascomycota; Eurotiomycetes; Eurotiales; Aspergillaceae. The record is from RNAcentral.
GCCCGGAUGGUCUAGUGGUAUGAUUCUCGCUUGUAAGUUGGCCUUAUCAACAAAAUACUACCAAUCACUUCGAUACUAAUAAAUCUUCACAGUGGGCUCUAUAGUACCAAUCUGCGAGAGGCCCCGCGUUCGAACCGCGGUUCGGGCC